Molecule: non-coding RNA, 85 nt
Filed under: unclassified sequences
Description: RAGATH-10 RNA
Rfam family: RAGATH-10 RNA
About the family: RNA motif Associated with Genes Associated with Twister and Hammerhead ribozymes (RAGATH).
Source: Rfam by way of RNAcentral
GAAACCUCAUCUUCGGUUGCGCCAUCCGGGGCAUAGACCAGUGUUUUUUAACACGAGCGAGCGUCCGCUCGGAUGAGGAGAGAGA